Myodes glareolus (Bank vole) is the source of this 565-nucleotide non-coding RNA. Lineage: Eukaryota; Metazoa; Chordata; Mammalia; Rodentia; Cricetidae. The record is from RefSeq and is a predicted model, not a curated record.
CAAAUUCCUUGCGAAAUGCCCCUGGCGCCGCUAGGGAACUCUGCAGUUGACGCUGUUGAUGACGUCACCAGGGUUUACAAGAACUGAGAAAAAGAACUUCGAGGAGCUUUGGGAACUCAAAGAAACCCAGAGCUAAUCUAUCUAUGAAAAGUCAACUAGACCAAACAUUAGGACUCAUAGGCAAGGGGAGAGUGGUCCUGAGCCAGCAUGUCUGCAGGGUAGCCAUUUCUUAGUCUGCUGGAAAUGCUGUAAUGAAAUAUUACAGAGUUGUAGGCUUAUAAACAAAUUUAUUUCUCCUGUUUCUAGAGAAAAGUCUCUCAGUCUCCAGUGGAAGACCAGGGGUGAAUGAAGAUUAAGGCAAAGAUGGGAAGGCGGAGAAGAUAAAAACUCAAAUCUCUGGUGCGCGUUCAGACCCAGAGAUGGGCUUCUCACUGCUAAAUAUGUCAUUAUCAAGGAGACCCCCCAUAAAUGUUGAUGCGUUUAAAUGUGUUUGUACUGUAUUUCAUAUUUGUUUUGCGAUUACAGCUAAUUGUCAGCAUUGAAAUAAAUAAAAAUGUGUGAUAUA